CGAGAGCCUGGUCGGCGAUAUGAAACUGCUCACCCACAAUCUGCUGAGCUCGCAUGUGCAGGGGGUGGGGUCCUGUGGCUUCCCCCUGCGCCUCCAGGCCACUGAGGUCCGUAUCUGCCCUGUGGAGUUCAACCCCAACUUCGUGGUGCGUAUGAUACCUAAGGUGGAGUGGGCGGCGUUCCUGGAAGCGGCCGAUAAUUUGUGCCUGAUCCAGGUGCCUAAAGGGCCGGUUGAGGGAUAUGAGGAGAAUGAAGUUUCUGAGGACCAUGCACCAUCUGCUGCUGGAGGUGGAAGUCAUAGAGGGCACCCUGCAGUGCCCGAAGUCUGGACCUAUGUUCCCCAUCAGCCGCGGGAUCCCCAACAUGCUGCUGAGUGAAGAGGAAACUGAGAGUUGAUUGUGCCAGGCGCCAGUUUUUCUUGUUAUGACUAAUGUUUUUGUUGAUGUAUACCCUGUUUCCAAAUUCUGCCGUGUGUAUCCCCAACCCUUGACCCAAUGACACCAAACACACAGUGUUCUUGAGCUCGACAUUAUAUAUUUUUUUCUCAUUAAAGGUUCAAAACCAAAAAAAAA
Molecule: RNA transcript, 571 nt
Organism: Mandrillus leucophaeus (drill)
Lineage: Eukaryota; Metazoa; Chordata; Mammalia; Primates; Cercopithecidae
Gene name: multifunctional methyltransferase subunit TRM112-like protein pseudogene
Exons: 1
Source: RefSeq, a predicted model, not a curated record